GCCUUUGUGUUGUAAUGGUCAGCAUACUCAGCCCUUAUUCGAGAGGUUCAAGGUUCGAGUCCCGGCGAGGGCA
This 73-nucleotide transfer RNA is filed under the name Stegodyphus mimosarum. It matches the Rfam family "tRNA". From Rfam's summary of the family: Transfer RNA (tRNA) molecules are approximately 80 nucleotides in length. Their secondary structure includes four short double-helical elements and three loops (D, anti-codon, and T loops). Further hydrogen bonds mediate the characteristic L-shaped molecular structure. tRNAs have two regions of fundamental functional importance: the anti-codon, which is responsible for specific mRNA codon recognition, and the 3' end, to which the tRNAs corresponding amino acid is attached (by aminoacyl-tRNA synthetases). tRNAs cope with the degeneracy of the genetic code in two manners: having more than one tRNA (with a specific anti-codon) for a particular amino acid; and 'wobble' base-pairing, i.e. permitting non-standard base-pairing at the 3rd anti-codon position. The record is from Rfam by way of RNAcentral. Lineage: Eukaryota; Metazoa; Arthropoda; Arachnida; Araneae; Eresidae.